CAAGCAACUAAAAAUCUUACUGUGUGAUUGAAGAGUGGUCAAAACUAUGGAUUUACUUACUGUAUACGCCUCCUGAAGCAGUAAUAAAACGUGGAAGGUUUGCGGUAUAAAUGUCAAUGAGACAGCUCUCCAUCAAAUACCAAACAACAUGGAAGAUAACAAUUACAUUUAACAGUACGACUUUCAACAACGAGCAAAACCUAUACCACAUAGUCAGGUGUAUUUGUAUUGCUUGACAUAUCUCCCGAAGUAAUAUCAAAAAUACAAUGCGACAUGUUUUGGAAUGUAAGAAGAUAUGAUGUAUGAGACAAUUGGACUGUACCUCAACAACACAGUACACACAAGAAGACAUAUGUAGAGGUUACAAAUGUACUACAUAAUAAAUCAAAUGAU
Molecule: long non-coding RNA, 393 nt
Filed under: Mytilus galloprovincialis (Mediterranean mussel)
Lineage: Eukaryota; Metazoa; Mollusca; Bivalvia; Mytilida; Mytilidae
Source: RNAcentral